Molecule: non-coding RNA, 6970 nt
Organism: Equus caballus (horse)
Lineage: Eukaryota; Metazoa; Chordata; Mammalia; Perissodactyla; Equidae
Source: RefSeq, a predicted model, not a curated record
AGCAGCCAAUGGGAGGCGACCGUACAACCUUCGGGCCAAUGGGGCCUCCGCUCUUAUCGCGAAGUCCCUUCCUUCAACGCCCUGUUUCCUCUCUCGGGUUUCCUCCCUCCCCCGCCAAGGAGGGGGAAGGUGGAAAAGGGGAGUGUGGUGGGGCGGGUGAUAAUGGGGAGGUAUCGGGGCAUAUAAUAGAGGAGGGGGUGGGCCAAGAGAGCGCUAGUGCGUAGAGACGAUUCUAGGAGAAGAGGUGCUCGGAGGAAAGGGUGGGGGCUGCUGAUGUAAUGGGGAGAAGUGAUUAAUCCUUCGGUUCGCCGUUUGAGCCUCCCCCCCACACCCGAUUUUUUAAGCAGAAAAAAAAAAAGUGGAGCGAGGGAGCCGAUCUUUGGUAAUUUGGUUUUCUGUGGUAGGUAGGUUCAAAGUCUGAGCUGUAGGGAGCGCUAGAGAUUCUGUGCCCUUUAGCCAAGCUGAGGGUAUGUGCAAACCUUGGAGAUCCACUUUACGGAGCUUUGAGCUUGAUAACUGAAGUUUGGAGUCGGUUCCUAACCGUCGUCUAAAAGGAGUCAUCUAAGUCUUGAAAAGGUUUUUUGGUCAGUAGGCGAUAGACCUUUGGUCGGUUUACUUUUUGGAGACGUAGUCUAUGUAAAAUGUUCCGGGAAAUAAUAGGUGAGAAAAGGAGAGAAGUAAAUGCGUUGAGGUUGUGAUUGUGAUUUAAAAGUAAUUUUUUUUUAGAUCCCACAAACUCAAAGGAAGAGAAAAAACCCCAGGAGGAAUUGUCGUUUGUAUCUGUAUCUGGUUCCCUCAUCAUAAUCUCUCCCCAAGGAAAACGCGUUUUUAUUCCCUAGCUGCUGUUGUGAUGACUGAAAAAGUACCCUUUCUCAAUUCCUCCCGUUCUUUUGUUUAUCUUUUUGUGGACGUGGUAAAACUGGCAGUUUACCUGAUUCCUGGUUUUCAGACCUUUGGGUGAUUUCUCUCUCGCUUGAGUUGAUCAGUUGCUGUCUUAGGUUUGAUGUAGAUAAUUAAACCGUUACAGAAUAUGAUUUAAAUAAAAUCAAAGCUGAGAGGGAGAAAAGUGUGUCUUUUGAGAGGAAGGAGAGGGGCAAGGAGAGCCAGUAUUGUGUAGGGUGUUUGAGUCCCUGAUUUGAUAUGUGACUCUAGGCAAAAUACUUUACCUUUCCAGAUAUCAGGGUCCCCCCACCGUUUAAUAAGAACUUAUUUUGCACUACAUAGUCCUGUCUUCAAUUUUUUAAAAUUCUAUAAUUUUGAGAUGAUCUCUCUUUCGUCCUGAAAAUGGAGAAACUUACAUCUAAGUUUCCUUCUCAAAAAAAUAUUUGAGGAGGAGGGCUGUUAGAAAAUAACUAAAGAACUGCACAUUUUUAUGGAUGUUAGCUAGGUGCAAAUGGGUAGAAGUUUAGAUGUGGUUCAAAUAAAUGUAGGGGGAAAAAGGAAAAUUACAUGCUGUUAUACUUAUUAUAAGUGGAUCCUUAAUUCUGAUUUUUCUAAAAAUUUACUUUUUUAUUCAGCAAGCACUUAUUGGUUCCUCCUGUGUUUGCGUUACUAUGUAAGCUGCUGUGGGAAAUACCAAAAAAAUAAAAGUUAAAGUCUUGGGCCUAAAAAAUUUGCAUUUUGGUAUGGCAGAAUUGAAGAUUUAAGUCAGAUGUACAAAGAAAACAUAGCUUGUUUAUUUUCUGUAAUUUUUAGCCUCCUUGAGUCUCCACAUUAUCUCUUUUCUUUUUUACCAUGCUGAGUCAGAUUUUAUUUCUCUACCUCUCUCUCAUUCCAAGUUAUGUAUGGGGGUCGAGGGUUGCUGUUUAAGGCAUAGAUGGGAUGUCUUUCACAUCUUUGGCAUCCUGGGUUUCUGGGUUUAUUACAAGAGUUCUCUGGCGUGUAGCAGUAAGAUGCCUUGUUCUAACAAAACCAAUAUAUUAUGACAAUUUUCUGAUAGAUGGAAGUAACGUAUCUUGAGAAAGGGAGUGCCUUUUUCUAAUUCACACAGUGACAGGUAGGCUGGUAGCAGCCCUGAGGGAUGAGAGGCUUACAUGGCAUCAGGGAAGGGCCCUGAGCCAUGCGUGCCCGGCCUUGUGUUGUCCUCUGGUAUGGAGUGGCUGGUAUGGGUUGAAAGCAGGACUGCUAGCCUCAGUGGUAAAACUGGUCAUUUCUGUCCUUUUGAGAUGUCAUGCUGGUUCCUCUGUAGUUCCUUUGCAGAAGUCCAUACCUGAGCCAUUUGCCCUAUACACUGCAACCUUUGUACUGACCCCGGGUCCCUGCAGGUCCAUUGAUUCUCACAGUGCCGCUCUCUCUUCUCACUGAGAUGUGUGGGAACUUCUAGGUUCCCCGAAUACCACAUGUAGGCCGUGCAGAGCCAGGAGCCUUGCUUUGCGCUCAUUUAUUGAGCCACUUCCCUCCAUCAAUGUUGCGUUAUUCUCCCCAUGUCAUACUGAACAUGCUGUCAAGCUGAAAGCAGAAUUCCUAGAGGGCUCAGCCUUUCACAGGAUGCCCAGAGAAGCAUACUAUCCCCAAUUUUCUUGGAUUUCCCCAUAUCUAUAUGAAUACUUCAACUCUGUACCUCCAGUUCUAGUUGCCACCAUGAGAAGGGACGGAAGGUGAGCAUACUGAGUCUGAUUACCUCUUCCUUGUCCCCUUUUCUUCUUUCCAUCAUCUCUCAGGGCUACAAGAGAUGGAUUUUUCUCCUUCUUGUAUAUCAGGAGCUUUCCUUAUGUACUAUAUCCUCUUCAUUCUUGUGAUGGCAUAUGCUCUGCUCCCUGUUGUGGAGCCAUGAUGGUGAAUGGAGUGCAAGAGAGAAACUAGUUUAACAAUAAUGGAAUAUCUAUUGGGAAAUAUUGAAAAAUAUUAUCAUAUCUCCAUAUCACUGGCUCCUACAUAUUUUUAGUUUAUGUUUUGAGAUUAAAUGUUAGAGACUUCUUUGUGCAAAGGUGUUCAAACCCAUCUUAAAAUUGUGGAGCUUGGGAUUUGUUAGAAUCAGCCUUAGAGAUCAUUUAAUUCUCAUUUCUAUACUUGACUGGGAAACUAAAGUUCAAAGAGGUGAGGUGACAAAACCACGUCCCCUAACUACUUAGUAGCAAAGUUACUGCCUGCCAGUCCAGUGCCCCUUCCAUUCACAGGUAUUACAGACUCUUAAUUCUCCCGGUGAAAACCCAAAAUAUUACAUCUGGUUUUAUGCAUUGCCAGGUCCACCUGUGUUAGCAAAUAAUCCCGUCAAUUAGCUGUCAUAGAAAUUAUGUGUGAGAGAAAACAGGAGAAAAAUUUAAAGGGGAUUGUUAUUUUGGGGUAGGGGUCUCCCAGAAUACUUUCAGUAUACGCUUCACAUAAUUCCAGAGGACUAAAUUCCCUCAGGGUUUGCUCUUUCUUCAAGAACAUUUGUGUUUGUUUUUUUCUCAACUAAUUACUGGUGCUUAACAGGUUAGUGUACUUAAAAUUAUUUGUUUAUAAAGGCUAUCACAAUAGAAGUGUGGAAAAAAUAAGCCCUUUAAUCAUUUUAAUACCUGGCAGGUGAUAUUUACUGUGAUUUUUUAAAUGAUAAUUUUUACCAUUUCAAAGAUUCAGUUUCCCUUUUCUCUGUCAUUCCAUCAUCUAGUCCUAAGCCAUCAGCACUCAGUCAGUUACAUAAGGCACCUCAAAGCUGCUCACUCUUUUUAUGUCGUUUAGGAAAUUAGUUUGAUCUGAAUAUGGUUUUCCUGAAGGAAUAACCAGUUCUGUUUAAAAUAUCCUUGUUAGAGUAUGAAUGACUUAUCUCACUAAGCUGCAAAAAUUCAUUCUUUAGUACAUGCGCAGAUAAUAUUUUAUCAGUUAGGCCUUGAAAAUUAACUUGCAACUAAGGAUUUAAAUUUAAUGUAUAUGUGGGAAAACCUGGUAAGCACGCAAUCCAAUGAUACUCACAAUAGAGGUUAUCUUUAAAGAAUUAUGGAAACGAACUUUAAUACCUUUCCCUGUGGAAUAAUAGAGGAAUAGCAGUGUUAAAAGAAAUUAAUUAUGUUCAAGAUUUAGGAUGGGCUAUGAUAGACAGUUGUAACUCUUUAUUUUUGCUGUUUAAAAGCAGAAUUCAAUUUCCAAGCAUUGAGAGAAGACUAGGCCAAAAAAUAAAGGUGUAUUAUAUUAUGGAAGGACUGGUAGGUGACUGAAGUGUGGCCAAAAGUGAGAAUGGAAAACCAAGAGGGAGCUCAGCCACUUACUGGCUGUCUGACCUUCCACAAAUUACUUACCCUCUCUGUGCUUGAGUUUCUGCAUCUGUAAAAUGGGGGCGAUAAUAGAUCCUCAUUUCUCAGGAUUGUUGUGAGGAUUAAGCAAAUUAAUACCUUAAAUGCUUUAAACAGUGUUUGCUGCAUAUAGGGGCUCAGUAAAGUGUUAGCCAUUAUUUUUAUUGCUGCUGGUGUCGGUGUUAUUUCAUGCCUUACUUGAUGAUUUUCAAAAUUACACAGACUAUGUAUGUAGGGAAGCAGGUAUGGUUCUUGUUGUAAGGGAAUAUGCCUAGAAAAUAAAUGGUAUUAGAAAGGUACAGGGAACACGGCACCAGAGGAAGGAGUUGGGCACAACAACAAUAGGUAGAGAUCAGACAUAGGUUGAAACUGAUGGGGGAAGACCUCUUGUGCAGAAUUUCUCUACUUAAGUGAUAUUUGAACCGAAGAUCUUGUGGCAGAUGGAGAAUAUUCUGACAUAGUUUCACUAUGGGAGCCUCUCAAGAGAGAGUCUAAGGAGAAGGUCAGGAAACAAACACAUAGGCCUAGAAAGAAAAAAUAAGAAAGAAAGAAGACAGCAGUUGGAGGUUUAUCUGUGUUUGUGGAAGAAUUGGAUGCAUUUAAGUAGCAGGUUAAAAUUUAAAAACUCACUUGGGCCUCCUUGAAAGGAGUAGGAAUGAUAGAAAUGGAAGAGGAGCAGAGAAAUUAAGGGCAGAAAGUAAUACAGGAAGUAGCACAAGUUACUCAAGGACUGGAGAAUCUGAAAGCUAAAGGAAGUGGGACUUUAGUGGAGGACAUAUUAGACCCCUCUAUGGUCUUGAGAUUAUGGCCUUUGGAAGAAUCAACAGAAGGUUCAGAUUCAGGAAUCUGUUGAAAGUGAUAACCCAGCUAAGAUAGAUUUAAGAAAAGAGGAUCUUGGAAGCAAGGUUAAUAGACUUAAGGAGCUCUAGAGCAGGAAACAGUGGCAGCAGCUGUGUCAUAAAGUUUAAAAAGUCUUGGGAUCCUGUUGGAGAUGGACAAAUACCCAGGGAAGAUCAGCUGCAAGGCUCUCAGCAUGGACUGUAGGGUUGCCUGGUGUAAAUGUGGAAUGCUGUGUUCGCACACGGAAGAGGAACCUAUGUCACUCGACAGAGGCCAAGCUUAAUUUAACACUGGACUUCCAGGCCAGAAACACUCCAAAGGAAAAUGGAAAUAAAAGUGUUCAAAACGUGAGAAGGGUACCAAGAGAAAGAAGGAAGAUUUGGAUGUAAUCUAGGCAUUGGAGAUGCUACCACUGAAAACCUCCUUGUGUCUCUUUGUACCUAAUUGGGCCCUAUGCAUAUUCUUGAAUUAAUCUCUGGCAAGGGUGAGGGGAUUACUCUUAGAAUCCUCUGAAAAGGACUGAAAAGAUCAGAAAACUAGAGAGAAGAGUAAUUGGACUUUAAGGUCUUUGGAGUUCAAAAAGUUUACAGUAGGAAGAGGGACCCAUUUUGGACUUGAAUUUCUCUGGUAAUUUAAUAAUGGGAAGGGCUUCACAUUGUUCCAUUUUCAGCCAUUCUUUGUUGUUUCAUUUUGACUUUUAAAAGUAAUUUUGUUGACCAAUUUUGGACAAUAUGACUAGGCAUGAUUUCAGAUGGGAAAUAAACUAGGAAGUGAAUAUUUGGCCUAGGGUGCAAUGUGGCCAUGAAGUUAAAUUGACUAAUAACCUGUUACAACCCAUUGCAGAAACUCUUAGGAGGACCAGCUCAACUCUCAGGGGUCCCAGGGAUUUACGGUGAGGAGCGGUGGUAAUAACUGAGGGAGCUGCUAAUCUCUCGCAAUUGGACAAUCCUGGAUGAACAAAGUUCCCAACUCUGUGGGUCUGGCAGGCCAACUCUGUCCUGGCACCUGGUCAGUGUCCUACCUUUGAUGACUGGAUUCUGAUCACUUUAUGUUCCUUGCCUCGUUUCCUGUUUGCUGGACCUGCUCCUCCCAAGGUUCUAAUCUAUGUCGUGGACCUGGGCUGGUAAUUUGACCAAGAUUUCCUGUUUCCUUGCUUGGUAAAUCACCAAUCAUAUUGUUAUAAUCCACAUAAUUUGUGUUCUGUUGACACUAAUGACAAGAUAUACAACGUUUCUUGAAUCAACGUACUUAUUAGUUUUUUAUCUUUUUAUUACGGAAAAUUUCAAACAUUUACAAACAUAGAGGAUAAAAAACUCCAUGUACCUAUCAUCCAGCUUCAACAAUUGUUAACCCUUGGUUGAGCUUGCUUCAUCUAUACUCCCCAACUCUCUAAACCCAAUUAUUUUGAUGCAAAUCCUAGAUAUCAUUCUAUCCGUGAAUAUAUCAAUAUGCAUCUCUAGAAAAAAGGAUUUCCUAAAAAAUUAACCUUAGUACUAUUGUCACAUGAAAAAAUAAUUCCUUAAUAUCAGAUGUUUUAAAAAUUUGUUUCAAUAAAAUUGGAAAAGUUUUAUUCAGCUGAGGCAGUAGCAACCAGAAUUGUUAGCAAAAUUUCUCAACAUUUAUAUUUGGAAAUGAACCAUGAAUUUUACAUAUUAAUUUCAAACAUUUUAAUGGGAUUGCAAUAAUGAUCAUUACCACAGAAAAUAAUACAAAAUUUUAAUUUUAUCGAAUAAAUUCUACAAUUUGCAUUGUGAUUGUUUCCCCACCAGCCUUUAAGCAAUAUCUAUAUCCAUACAGUGUUAAGUUCUUUCAAUAUUUUCAAUGCUUAGAUAUCAUAAAGAAAAACAACAAGAAAAAUAUGUGGUUCAAUUUUUUCAAAUUUCCCAUCAUAGGAGACCAUACCUCUAUCUAGAAUGCACAGA